This 1008-nucleotide long non-coding RNA is filed under the name Ananas comosus (pineapple). RNAcentral describes it as "long non-coding RNA (ACOM_LNC021434)". Lineage: Eukaryota; Viridiplantae; Streptophyta; Magnoliopsida; Poales; Bromeliaceae. The record is from RNAcentral.
UAUAUAUAUAGAGUCAGGCUAUGGUGCAUGUAAAAGCACCAAGCACUUGGUGCUUGUAAAAUUUUUACCGUUAGAUCACGCCUUUAAUCAUUUUCACUCGUUAUAUUAUACUAUUCAACCAACUAACCACUAAACCCUAGGGGGCCCACAUCAUCCUAACUACACAUUCCUUAAUCCAAGGGCCGAAAACUUACAAGUACCAAUGAUUUGGUACUUUUAAAAGCCUAGGAGCUCAUAUAAUAAUAUAUAUUAUAUAUAUAUUAUAUAUAUAUAGAGAUCGAGAGGAGAGAAGGCGAAGGAGAGGAGAGAAGAGACGAGAUGGAGCAGAGAGAGAGAGAGAGAGUAUGGACUGUCUGUGCUCUAGGCAGCGCGGAGGCCUCCGUGUCCUGAGCUUUAGAUGAUGAAUUUUCAAAUCGACGAUCGGCUCCGUUAGACUUGAUCUAGCACAUUUGAAGUUUCUAUAAAAUAAUUUUUGCGAUUUUUUGUUAUCACUUACCUAGUGAUCGAAAGGAUUCAAAAUCCAUAAUUUUUAAUGGUUGAUAUCUGCCGUUUUCAAGUUUAACGGUAUAGAAGUAUUCAAAUCAGAUGAAAUUUUAAUACAAAAUUUUUUAUACUAUCUACAACAAAAUUAAUAUUUCUGAUCGAAAAUUUUAGUACUAUAUCACUACUUUUUAUAGGAUUUUUAUUUUCAGCCGUUAAAAAUUAUUGAUUUUGAAUCCUUUUGAUUGCUAGAUAAAUGAUAUCGAAAAAUUGCAAAAAUUAUUUUCUAGAAACUUCAAAUACGCCAGAUCAAGUUUAAUGGAGCCGAUCGUCGAUUCGGAAACUCCAUCAUCGAAAACGGCUCAGGAGCACGGAGGCCUCCGUGCUCCUGAGAGCACAGCAGCCCUGCUUAUAUAUAUAUGGGCUUUUUUUGCAAAUAGCCCCCUUACAAAUUUUUUUUUUUAAAUUGGCCCUGUCAAAAAUUUAUUUGCAAAAAUGGCCCUGGCCUCGCCACGUCAGCGCCACGUC